Lolium perenne is the source of this 1762-nucleotide non-coding RNA. The record is from RefSeq and is a predicted model, not a curated record. NCBI's taxonomy places the organism in Eukaryota, Viridiplantae, Streptophyta, Magnoliopsida, Poales, Poaceae.
UGAUUUCUCUUUCUCUCUUGAUGCCUCCCUAUUUUCUCUUAGCUUUUAUUUUGGUAUGCCAAGUAUCUAUUUUUGCUGGGCUGAUUGAUUCCACAUUGUGGGCUUGAUGAUUGAUACCACAUUAUGGGCUGAUUGAUUCCACAUUAUGGACUUUGGAAAUUCGAUUUAUUUUGGAAUCUUGGCAUAACAUGGUUUAGUUGGAUUCCAACAUAAAAACUAAACCUCAAUCUAUUUUCAAGCGUUGCCUUUGUGUAAUCUGGAGGGUAGUUUUAGUUUAGAGGGGUCAAUGGUUGUUUACUUUGUUGCGGGCUAAACCUUGACCGAAUUUCUUGUCUGUUUUUAUGGCUUUCAGGUGAAGAAGAAAAGACCAAGUACUUCAUCCAUGCAGUUCUGUACCAGUAGUAGUUAAGUCCCAAGAUAAUUUACCCUCUCGACAUCAAGAAGUAGGCUGAAAGGAGAGGACGUCAGAGCUGGGCGAAGGCAGCAACGCCAUUGGUUUGAGGCUGAAGUUGGUUGAGGCCCACUUGGAGAAGCGGUGCUGCGAGUCAGCCAUCAUGCUGGUGCUCAAAUACGAGAGCACUAACAAGGGCGUUUUUGAUGCUCACAUGGCGAUGGUGAACCAGUUUGCGUGGGAGGGAGUGUAGGGAAGGAAAGAGUUCCUGGUGGAGGUGUAGAUGCAGAUGGUGCUCACCCACCCAAACCUUGUCAGCCUGGUCGAGAUGAGAGGUUGCUGUGUGAGAGUACAUGCAGUUCCGCAUCCAGGAGAGACAUCUUUUUUGGCGAGUUCUUCUCACAAGUCAGACCUGCUGUUUGUUCUAGUUCAUAUGUCUGCAAAUCAGUCCGGUUAUAGAGUUGGUGGAGGUGAACAUUUCUUGGUCUGUUUUCGUGAAGGUGAUGGCCGGACUUAGCUUAGGUUCCACUUAAAGAAGUGUUAGUCGCAGGGACCUGGUGCAUGAAGUGGCAGACUGCUGUAGCGCUUCCGAAGGGGAAUACGUUCAACUGUUGUGUCCGUUUUGGUUGAUACUACCAAAUCCUUAUGGCGGGAUGGUGCGUCUCCAUGCAAUGAGAUCUGUAUUAUCAUUAUUACUGAGUGACGAAAUUAAUUCUUCAGAUUCAUUUCAUAUGUGCAUUACUAGAACUUGUUAUGUUUGCCCAUUCUGUGAUUUCCCUACAUGAAUAUAUCUAAGGUCUACCAUGAGUAUUGAUGGUGUGUUGCACAGGGAACAACAAGCGCAUUUUCUUUGGAGUGACCAUGACAUGAAUUCUGUGAUGGUUCGACAAGCCGAGCUUCAAGAAGCGGUAGUCGCUGGGACCUGGUACAUGGAGCGGCAGACUGGUGUAGCUCUUCCAAAUGGAAGAAGUCUAGCUACUGUGUCCAUUUUGGUUGAUACUACCGAAUCGUGUCGGAGGAUGCAAAAUUGAAAUUUUAUGCAUGGCCUAUCAGGACCGCGACCAGAGAAGCAUAGGGCGGUGAUGGGUGAAGAGAAUGGUAGCUAGGGCUUGAUGCUAGUUUGAUCCGUUUGUAGCUUUGGAAUUACAUUACUUUAUGGAUUUAGCUAAGCUGUUGUUAGUUGUCUCAUGAGCUGGGUUGUGGGCGUGAGGAUGUUAUAACUGGGGAUGAGUUGGGUCGUGGGUGUUUUUUGAUGUGCAUAUGCAAUCAUGGGCAGUGAGUCAAUGAAAUGUAUAUGCUGAUGCUCAUAUCUAUACAAUAUUUGUGGUCUCAUUUCGCUCACCUUGACAUGCAAUAUACUCUUGGAUUUUA